Molecule: long non-coding RNA, 1084 nt
Filed under: Carica papaya (papaya)
Lineage: Eukaryota; Viridiplantae; Streptophyta; Magnoliopsida; Brassicales; Caricaceae
Description: long non-coding RNA (CPAP_LNC000832)
Source: RNAcentral
AAUCUUCAUUCAACAAUCAUGUAAUAAGCAAAUGACAAAUUAAAACAUUCAGUAUCACCAUUUUUUAAUUUCUUCCUGUAAAGGCCCAAAACCCUAAAUAAGAUAAAGUCAUAAAUAAAAUACAAAAGUGAGAUAAUAGAGUUAGGGUUUACAUUCCUUACAUAAUAAUUUAGAAUGCCCAAUAAGGCUACAGAAAUGUCUCCUCUGAAAGAACAAACAAAAAUUAAAGAAAUAAACAAGAGACAAGUCACUAACCAAUGCUAAGACGACCUUCACUACCUCUUGAAGGGAGUUUGAGUAGUGAGUUAUUUACAACCUUCUUAUUGAUUGAGAUCUAGAUCUUGGUCUGCUUGAUAUAAAAUAGUUAAUGAACGGGUGAGCUAUACUAGUCCAGUAAGAAUAUCACACUAAUUACAUAUACGGAAAACUGAAGAUUGGUAAAAAUCAGAAAAAUAACCAAUGGAGCUCUUAAUUUAAUGUAAAUUCAUUUACUAUAAAGAAAGCCAUUUAUUCCAUUUUGUGUAAAAAGUCUUUCAUAAUAAUAACUUAUAAAAAUUCAUAUUCAUGCACUAUUAUUUAUCACAUAGAAGAAGAUAAUAAGAACGAUUAUUUUAUAUUUUUACCCACUUACCGGUAUCCUUGGAGGUCCAUAGGGAUGUCUUCAUACUCGUAAAUCUAAUAUUCAAUUAAACAAUUAACCGGCCGUUUUCAUUCCCCGUCUAGUAAUGGCCAGUUUUAGCCCACUUUAUAUGUAUCCCUACAAACAAAUACGUUAGGGAGUUUCUGUUGGCCGAAAAAAAAAUCAAAAAAUGGAAACCUACUGGUGGUGGGAUUUUUCAGGUGCGGUGGCUUCGUCGACUUGUAGAAAACAGAGUGAUGAUCACAGCAGUGGAAAAAUCGUAUAAAACGGGAAACGAAAAGGGACUCAUCGGAAGAGGUUGCGGGUUUUGCUUCUGGCGGUACUGACGGGCUUUGCUCGUGGUUUCCAACUCACCUGUUAUUCUUUUUGCUCCAAUUUGAUCAUGGGGGUGCUCGAAAUCAAAUUCUGAGCAUAUAAAAUAAUUUUUAUAUUUUUUGACGGUUG